Molecule: long non-coding RNA, 2608 nt
Filed under: Helianthus annuus (common sunflower)
Lineage: Eukaryota; Viridiplantae; Streptophyta; Magnoliopsida; Asterales; Asteraceae
Description: hypothetical non coding rna
Source: RNAcentral
GAAUAAAAGGAUCCCUUUCGCUUUAUUUUCUCACCCUUUUCCCUGAUAUUUCGGUUUGACGGCUGCUACCUCUUUCAACCCCCGGUGCUUCAAUCGAACGAGCUCUAUUAUUCUCGUGCAUCAUUAUGUCGGACGAGGAACCGGUUGACCAGAAGAAGUACUUUGAAGAGUUGUGCAAGCCUAAAUGUGUUAGAGCUUGGCUUGACUAUCAGGGUUGUGUGAAAAGGGUUCAGGCUGAUGAAACGGGCCACAAACAUUGCACUGGACAAUACUUUGAUUACUGGCACUGUGUUGACAAAUGUGUAAGCUUAUUCUCUUGUACACUUUUCUUUUUACGACCACAAUCGAUGGCAAGUUGGGUAAACCCAUUUUGAUAACUGGGUUGAAAUCGAGAGAACUGUAUUGCAGAUCGAACGGUUGGAUCCGUUUUUUUAAAUAACUGGGUUGAACUCGACAUUUUUGAAUCGUAUGAUAACUUCUACUCAUCUUUUGAUGCAGGUUGCACCUAGGCUGUUUGCAAAACUGAAAUAAUAUGCACAUCUAUACCUUGAGUUAAUCAUAAUAAGGAGUUGUGUCUAAAUUGGCAUAAAUUUCGAACAUUUGUGGUGUUUUAAUGGAUGUUUUUUCAUUGUGAAAAUAGACCUUUAGUUUCAAGCUUGUCCAUUUUGUGUCUUCUCUGUUAACCAACAAUUGUUUUUCUUUUCAUUUUGUGGCGAUGUUUUUAAAUAAUUGAAAACAAGUAGUUAUGCAAUUGGAGUGGUAAUAAGGGCUGUGUAACAGGCUGGUUAAAAAAUGCACUUGUAAAUAAACGGAUCAAAGUGAGAAAGUGAACGAUGAGAGAGAGACGGGAAGGAGAGUCUUGAGAGCAGGUAGAGGUGGCAAACGGAGCUAGGGUUCAAGCGACGACAAGAUUGGCAUUCUUCACGGUUGAACAGUGGCGGUAAUAACUAUGACGGCGACAUGGGUUCGUUUAGGGUUUUGUCCAACGGUGGUCUUGUGAUGGUUGUGGUUCCACCACCACAUAAAUCUGACACUUCUCUCUCCUUUUUCUCUCAACUCUUUCUCUAUGCUGAAGAUCUGCCCUUCAAUCUCGACAAAGGAAAGAUAGUGUUGGUGAACAAUAAGAGGUAGCACCUAGAGUCUUCAUCAUUCAUACUUUCUGAAUUUGUUUUUGGAAUGACAAUGUCAAAAUGCAUGUAUAUAUUCAUUUUGUUUUAUUAUCUGUCAUUUUGUUGCAAAUCUACACAAGUUUGAUUGAUAAGAAAAUGAUUGUGGAUUUGUAGUUGUUUGGGAGAUUUGGUUGAUAUAAGUUUUGUUUUGGUUUGAUUUAGGGUUGGUAGAUGUUGCUUGGUGAAUAUUUAAUCUAAAUAUUUUAUACAUUGAUUUGGGGAAAGUGAAUGCUAUAUGAAAUUGUAGUUGAUAAAAUAAACUACUUUUCUUUGUUGACACUUUAUUGACCGAGCAUUUUGUGGGAUUAGAUAAGUCCAUGAAUUUGCAAAUCAUAUUCAUGCAUAUUUAUUGGUAAGUUUUAGUUUUGGGUAGUAUCUUAUUUGCAGUUUUGUUAUGAGUGAUGGAGAAAAGACUUGCCCACUUUGUAAGAUGGAUCUGACUGAUCAGCAGCUAAAGCCUUGCAAAUGUGGAUAUAAUACCGGAGCUUGAGAGAAAUGCAUAGGAGUUGAUGAAAUACUUUGAGGCAACCCACGGGGACAUCUUUCAGUUAAUACUUGCAAUUGGUCAAGAUGAAAGGAAUCGAGCGAGUGUUUAAAAUGAUGGAACAUAAGUGAUCAGUAUCUAUUGAACAAGGGAGUGUUACUUCUUUGACACCAAAAAAGCACAAGGCUGGUUUGUCCAUAUCCUCCAAGGGAUAUAAAACGUGACUGAAGAUGAACAAGGCAAAAAUAUCUGCUCUUAGACUAGAAGGAGUUGUAUCACCAAUAGAAGUACGUGUCAUACGCAAAUUGAAUCCAAAUGUUAUGAGAUGACGAAACAUGCUAUGUGUUAGUCGACCAGCAGGUAUGUAUGAAAAUAUGAUUGCACACCAAAAUGGGCAUUCAACAAAGCUACACAAAUCCUAACUCUUACCACCAAGCACCUCUGCAAUAGGAGAGUAAUGAAAAUAUUUCUAUUGGAGACGAACCUGCUCAUCGCCUAUUGAACUUUUGAAGAGCGCACCAUUUCCAGCGCUACUGAACUCUGUCCGACAAAAGUUCAAAAAAGAAAGAACCUUCUACUUGCUAAUAUGAAUUUAGGUUCCUUUGUUUAGAUUACAUAUCGUUUCUUUCACUGGUUGCUUAUGACCCAGACAUCUAAAAUAGGUUGCUUUGGUAGGAGCAAACUAAUAGUGGCAAGCAGCUAACUCGCAAUAGAAAGUUUCAAAUCUGUCGUAGGAGGAAUACCAUGAUGUCUAGAAGGAUAUAUGAAGGUGAACAAGGUUUUUAAUCCAGCUAUUACUCCAACCAUUCUACCUCGCGUCACACGUAAACUAAAAAAAUGGCCAACUACAACAUGCCAUAGGUUAGUUAUUCUAUUUUUCUUAUUUAUAAUUCUUCAUUCAUGUUUUUGAUUACAACUGGAAAACAUUUAUUGAAUAUGUUUUCAUCCACGUUUU